Molecule: long non-coding RNA, 2736 nt
Filed under: Falco tinnunculus (common kestrel)
Lineage: Eukaryota; Metazoa; Chordata; Aves; Falconiformes; Falconidae
Description: lncRNA (ENSFTIG00000015626.1)
Source: RNAcentral
AUGAACAAGCGGGCGCCCGAUGCGGAGCUGCGGCCUCCUCCCCCGGGGCAGGACGCGCCGCCACCCCGCUCAAGCAGCCAUCCGUGCGCGGCCGCUCCCCCGCCCCGGGCUCCUCCGGGAGCGGCAGGACGACGGCGCUGGCUGGACUUGGAGGCCCUGCUCAUCACAGUGCGCCUCCCUGCCUGCCUCCUCCCUUCCCCCCCUCCCCGCCGCAGUGGAGCGCGAUCCCUGCACACACACACACACGCACGCACGCACUCGGGGCGCUGCGGCUCGGCACACGGCAGCCGAGAGCCCGCGGCUCCGCUCGGCGCCCUACCUCAGCCCGGCACACCGCCGCGCCGCGCCAGCACGGGCACAGCAUCCCUGCCCCCUCCCCAGGGCCGCCGUGUCACUCAGCCGCGGGGCAGGCAGCCAGGCUCCCGCACGCACGCACUAGCGCACACGCACACAAGCGGUGCCUGCGGCUCGGCUCGCCCGCGCAGGCCGCCACAAAAGCCCACUCUGUGGCUGGCGGAGACGGCGCCUCCCGGUGGCCCCCGUCUGGGUCGGGCAUCCGCUGCCCUCGGCGGACCCCUGCGAAGGUGCCGGGGGUCGUUGCUGUGUGCGCUCCCCCCCGCUCCCCGCCCUGGCCGUCCGUUCGCAAGGCAGGUUCACGGUCAUUCUUGAUUACUGCAGUGGUAGGCUACGGCCUGUGACAGAGAACACAAACAGCAAUAUCCCAAGCAUGUCAGCAUCUCAGCGCAGUGUGACUGCAAUACAAAUGAUUUUUGGACUCAUGCUGUGACUGUUCAGGGGAAGAGCCUCUCCACCUCCACCACAGUAUCUUCACAGCGCUUACGAAUGGAGCUUUUCCAGAGGGUGAACAUCCUAGGUAAUCUCUGCUGUUUGAAUCAUUAGUCUUUGCCAAAUAUUUCUUGCUGCGAUAAGCUUUCAGUUUAAUUUGUGGACAGGAUCAUUCAUAUUCAAAGUUGCGGUAGCAGAGCUGUAUCCAAACUGGAUAAAUGCUGGUCCUUACUUCCACGGUACUACUGCAGUUUCAUGAUGCUGCUCUUCCCUGCCUGAAUUAGAGGGAGGAUUGAGUGCCAUAGUCCUCUGCUGGCACACCGGGAAUGUGCUCCAGGAAAACACGCAUCCCCCUGCUUCCCCAGUCUGCAUCUCAGCAUUGCCGAGACCAGCCCCGAGCUACACCAGGGUGACCCCCAGCCAGGGCUGGGGUGAGACCCGCUGAGCAGCGGGAGCCCCGGGCACAGGCUCUGGGCAGCUCGAGGUCUCCCUCUCCAGGAGCAAGGCUGUUGAAAAGGCAACAGCUGAGGCUGAUUGUCAGUUUGCCAGCUUCUUCAGAACGUAAAAUUGUUAAUCCGGCACUGAAGAAAAGCUUUCUGAUUGCAGCCACACGACUGUUAGGCAUUUGAGCAUUCAGGUUAAGCAGUUAGAGAGCAAAAAGUAGCGAGGAAACACUUAGAGACAGCCGAUCUCCCGGGGCUUCAGAGCCGAGGGGCUUCCCCUGACUCUUUGGAGCGAGUGCAUUUAUUAGCUGCUGGGGAACAGUGGUGACCACGUGACAGUAUUUGCCAGAAUUUGUCCCCGAUACCCUUCCCCGCGAGGCGGGGUGGCCCCUCCGCAGCGCUGUGCGGCGGGGGUUGGGCUGAGGGCUCGGCGGGUCCGUCGGUGGGGGCUGGCGUCCUGCCCGCGGCCACGGCAGCUCUGCCGCAGGGGCUGCUGCCUUUGCCGCUGCCACAGCCUGCUUACAUGCGAUGGGGCUGCAACUUACACCGCUAGAAAGAGGUGUUGCGUUAGUUACGAUUUCCACGGCUACUUAAUUUCCCUGGGAAGUGCGCGCUUCGAGCCCUGCGCCUAUAGCGGUGUCCACCUUUCUCCUUCAGCCCCGGCAGACGUUUCCCUCAGCUGGGUGACUACAGCUAGCGGGCACCCGGCGCGGACCGGGACAUUGGCAGCUGGGGUGGUCUGUCCCGUUCCUCCUCAUCUGCUUUCCUGCUGGUUCGACAGGCCGAGCUGAGGGACGCGCAGGCACAGUGACAAGCCCUACGGCUUUCCAGGGGCUCUUCCAGCGCAGCCAGGGGAACGGGCUCGUUGUGGGGGCCCUCCUCAAGGCCGCCGGUGUCUGUAGCCCGGAUGGCCCAGGGGCCGGGCUAUGUCUGGGCACUGGUGUCGCGCUGAAAGAUGAUUCAGCGAGGAGGGGCACCCGGGGCAGCCCGGCUGGGCCCCCGCCGCCGCGAACGGCUGGGGGUUCGGAGGCGGGAGGGAGCAGAGCCCCCGCACGGCCAGCGGGCCGCCACGGCGAGCCCGGCGGGGGAGGGGGCGACGGGUGUCCGCUAACGGCCCCGGCCCCGGCCCCGGCCCCGGCCCCGGCCCCGGCCCCGGCCCCGGCGGCGCGGCUGUGCCCCGUGCUGCCACCUGCCGGCGCCGCUGCCCUGCAAAGCCCCGCAGUGAAACCCCGGCACCCCCAGACCUUCCUCCCCACUCCCCUCCUUUCUGCGCUACGCAAAUUACCCCAUAUGAUCCGUUUUCCAAACCCGUCUGGGACCAGGCAUAUGCCAAGCACUCGCAUGACAUCCAGCAUGUUUUACUCUGCUUUGUAAGGUGAAUAUUAAUAAAGCAUGCUGCACGUUUAUCAGAGGAGAUUUUGGAAAAAAAAAUACGUCCAAGAGAAAUGGCAAUCAUGUUUUUACUUUGCAAGAGCUUGUUUCAGAAGUAAUUCCUCCAGUUUGUGGC